This 441-nucleotide ribosomal RNA is filed under the name uncultured bacterium. RNAcentral describes it as "partial 16S ribosomal RNA". It matches the Rfam family "Bacterial small subunit ribosomal RNA", at positions 339 to 795 of the family's 1533-position model. The record is from RNAcentral.
CUACGGGUGGCAGCAGUGGGGAAUCUUGCACAAUGGGCGAAAGCCUGAUGCAGCAACGCCGCGUGAGCGAUGAAGGCCUUUGGGUCGUAAAGCUCUGUCCUUGGGGAAGAAACAAAUGACGGUACCCAAGGAGGAAGCCCCGGCUAACUACGUGCCAGCAGCCGCGGUAAUACGUAGGGGGCAAGCGUUAUCCGGAAUUAUUGGGCGUAAAGAGUACGUAGGUGGUCUUUUAAGCGCAGGGUUUAAGGCAAUGGCUUAACCAUUGUUCGCCCUGUGAACUGGAAGACUUGAGUGUAGGAGAGGAAAGUGGAAUUCCUAGUGUAGCGGUGAAAUGCGUAGAUAUUAGGAGGAACAUCAGUGGCGAAGGCGACUUUCUGGACUAUUACUGACACUGAGGUACGAAAGCGUGGGGAGCAAACAGGAUUAGAUACCCCAGUAGUC